UACGGAGGGUGCAAGCGUUGUUCGGAAUCAUUGGGCGUAAAGCGCGUGUAGGCGGUCAUCUAAGUCUGGUGUGAAAGCCCGGAGCUUAACUCCGGAAGUGCAUUGGAUACUGGGUGACUAGAGGAUGAGAGAGGAAAGUGGAAUUCACGGUGUAGGGGUGAAAUCCGUAGAUAUCGUGAGGAACAUCAGUGGCGAAGGCGACUUUCUGGCUCAUUUCUGACGCUGAGACGCGAAAGCGUGGGGAGCAAACAGG
RNAcentral lists this ribosomal RNA (253 nucleotides) under uncultured bacterium. RNAcentral describes it as "partial 16S ribosomal RNA". It matches the Rfam family "Bacterial small subunit ribosomal RNA", at positions 524 to 776 of the family's 1533-position model. The record is from RNAcentral.